RNAcentral lists this ribosomal RNA (472 nucleotides) under uncultured bacterium. RNAcentral describes it as "bacterial SSU rRNA". It matches the Rfam family "Bacterial small subunit ribosomal RNA", at positions 364 to 832 of the family's 1533-position model. The record is from RNAcentral.
UUCGCAAUGCCCGAAAGGGUGAACGAGCGACGCCGCGUGCAGGAUGAAGGACUUCGGUUUGUAAACUGCUUUUCUACGGGAAGAAUACCUGGAUCGUGCAUCUGGGGGAGACGGUACCGUGGGAAUAAGCCUCGGCUAACUCCGUGCCAGCAGCCGCGGUAAGACGGAGGAGGCGAACGUUAUUCGGAAUCACUGGGCUUAAAGCGCGCGUAGGCGGGCCGGCACGUCCGUCGCUGAAAGCCCCCGGCUCAACCGGGGAAGUGGAGCCGAAACGACCGGUCUGGAGGGACGUAGGGGGACCUGGAACUUCCGGUGGAGCGGUGAAAUGCGUUGAGAUCGGAAGGAACGCCCGUGGCGAAAGCGAGGUCCUGGACGACUGCUGACGCUGAGACGCGAAAGCUAGGGGAGCAAGCGGGAUUAGAUACCCCGGUAGUCCUAGCCGUAAACGAUGGGCACUAAGUAGAGGGGUUUU